CUUGCGUCGCGUCUCUUCGUCGCAUGAGUUUCAGUCACAUCCAAUUCGAAUCAAUUCAACAAUGGCCGCCGUGACUUCACCUUCCUCCAGAAACCAGACGCUGUCCUCCUCGUGCUCCUUUUCCUACCCCUUCGCUUCAUACACCUCCGGCAAUUUUGCUCCCGAGCCUCCCCUUCGUCCCCACACGCUUCUCCUCCUCAUUUGGCCACCAUCGGCAUUUUUCUUCAACCUCUUUGCCACCGUGUCCAACAUCGUCAUCCGUGAGAUUCUCCUCGGAGCAACCACCAAGCUCCCCCGGACAACACUCCACGGCUAUAAAGAGGUUCAACUAGACCCCACAUCUUCAUGGGCUUUACUACGCAAGGAUUUUGCUGCACCAUCAAAAUACACUGGUAUAUUUCAAGCAUCUAAAGAUAUUUUCAGACAAGAAGGUUUUCAGAGUUUUUAGCGGGGGAAUGUACCGGCAUUGCUUAUGGUUAUGCGAUAUACAGCUAUACAGUUUAGAGUUUUACAUAAGUUGAAAACUCUUGCCUCUGGUUCUUCCAAGUCAGAGGAUCACAGUAGUUUGAGCCCUUAUCUGUCCUAUGUCAGUGGGGGCAUUAGCUGGAUGUGCAGCUACAAUAGGGUCUUACCCGUUUGAUCUUCUCCGAACCAUAUUAGCUUCUUAGGAGGAGCCAAAGAUAUAGGAAACAAGCAAGGGAGCAGCUAGCUGCUAUAUAUAUGAAGAAUGUUGAUGAGGGAGAAUUAGUUGCAGCAUACAAGUGAAAUGGGAGCUGUUUCUUCAAUGCUUCUAAUUCUUUUGAUAUUGUGCAGUUCUGGUUUUGGUGGCAUAGCGUUUGGUUUGUUGAAUUUCAGCAGCAACAGCAGAGCUGGUUCAUCUUCAUCACCUAACAAUGAGGUGGUGUCUUAUGGGAAUGGGAAAGAAGCAGAGUUAGAAGAGAAGAGGGGUGUGCCAUCGGGAGCUAAUCCUCUCUAUAAUCACCGGUAGAAGCUAAUUAUUAUCUGAUCGGGACCACACAGACUUCAAAAAAGAAACUAAAGGAAUCUAUCUAUCUAUAUGUCUACUAUUCAUUUUAAUUAAUAGGAUGUUGUUAUUAUCUGAGAACAUGCCAAAAAAGUAUCCCCGUAUAUAAAACUUUGAUUGAUCUGACAUGUUUGUGCAUGAGCUGUCUCUUGGUUUGGUGACACCUCCUAAUGGAUGCCCUACAUUGCAUGCCUAUGCCUAUCAUCAUCAAUUAUUAUUUAUUUACUAAUUAAGCUAUAGCUAGCUGUUUCUUCCAUCUACACCAUUUCACUCAUUUUAGUUUAUUAGCUUUUGGAAUGCUUUAAAUGGUGCUAUUAACUUCUAGUUAGUUACAUAUUAUUUGAAUUAACAGCUACAGAGAUCCGUAACUGAUCAAUAAUUGGGGGUUAUAGUCUUGCAAAUUUUGAAAUGCUGUGAACAUGACAAUAUACACAUAUAGCUGAUAAACUUGGCGCAAAAAAAAUGGCAAUUAGAGCAGCAUUUGCAGAAUUCUUCUCAAUGCUUAUUUUUGUUUUUGCGUCUAUUACAUAUAAUCUCUCAUCAA
Arachis duranensis is the source of this 1568-nucleotide RNA transcript. RefSeq lists it as uncharacterized. Lineage: Eukaryota; Viridiplantae; Streptophyta; Magnoliopsida; Fabales; Fabaceae. The record is from RefSeq and is a predicted model, not a curated record. The transcript has 5 exons.